UUAAAUUAGUUUACUUCAGUUAUGGAAAUAUCAAAUUCAAUAUAUUUUAAUAUUAAUUUCUUAUUAACAGUUCUGGUUACUUAUAAUUAAUAUGAUUCUACCCAUAUACUUUAUUUUUAUAGCAAACUCAUAUUUUGGAUUGUGUAUUGCUAUCCAUAAAUUUACACAUGUACUUUCAUAAUUUAAUUGUGGUUAAUGAGUUUUUGGCAGCAGUAUACAAUACACAGAUUAAAAUUAAUUCUGAACUGAUGCUAGAAGAAAGAUGAGUUCACAUAUUGCAUCUUGAUAAUAGUGCU
This 296-nucleotide long non-coding RNA is filed under the name Homo sapiens (human). RNAcentral describes it as "non-protein coding lnc-PAX8-4:1". Lineage: Eukaryota; Metazoa; Chordata; Mammalia; Primates; Hominidae. The record is from RNAcentral.